GGCCGCUCAUUUAAUAUAAAAUCAAUGAGUAGAUCUCACCUCCCCUUCCCCAUACCAUAGCCGGAAGGGAUAGCGUAUCCACAGAAGAGAGAGUACGGGCCCUUGCCCAACAUUUAGUUUAGACGCGGCUCGAAUGCCUUUAUGCUAUAGGCUGUGUUAAGCAUGCUUCUUUGACAGAAAACAAACUCUUUUUCCAUGACAACAGUCGCGACUAUAAAGGGCGGGGCGGUAAGCUCUCUAUCAACAAUAGGGGGCUAUUCAUAGUAAAAAACUACUAGACUAUAUGGAUUCCAACUGAACUUCAACUUCUACUUGGUUGAUUAAUUCA
This 328-nucleotide long non-coding RNA is filed under the name Nicotiana benthamiana. RNAcentral's name for it is "long non-coding RNA (NBEN_LNC022185)". Lineage: Eukaryota; Viridiplantae; Streptophyta; Magnoliopsida; Solanales; Solanaceae. The record is from RNAcentral.